AUCUAACUAGAUUUCCAAGCACAUAUCUGAUGAUUCCAUAUGGAAUUUAACUACUCUAAGUUUCCUGGAU
RNAcentral lists this small nucleolar RNA (70 nucleotides) under Carlito syrichta (Philippine tarsier). Its description in RNAcentral is "Small nucleolar RNA SNORD121A (ENSTSYG00000021581.2)". It matches the Rfam family "Small nucleolar RNA SNORD121A", at positions 16 to 82 of the family's 82-position model. Lineage: Eukaryota; Metazoa; Chordata; Mammalia; Primates; Tarsiidae. The record is from Rfam by way of RNAcentral.